GGGGGGAUAACUCAGUGGUAGAGCGUUCGACUGCAGAUCGAGGGACCCCCGGUUCAAACCCGGGUGCCCCCU
RNAcentral lists this transfer RNA (72 nucleotides) under Trichonephila inaurata madagascariensis. It matches the Rfam family "tRNA". From Rfam's summary of the family: Transfer RNA (tRNA) molecules are approximately 80 nucleotides in length. Their secondary structure includes four short double-helical elements and three loops (D, anti-codon, and T loops). The record is from Rfam by way of RNAcentral. Lineage: Eukaryota; Metazoa; Arthropoda; Arachnida; Araneae; Nephilidae.